RNAcentral lists this transfer RNA (72 nucleotides) under Camelus bactrianus (Bactrian camel). It matches the Rfam family "tRNA". Rfam says of the family: Transfer RNA (tRNA) molecules are approximately 80 nucleotides in length. Their secondary structure includes four short double-helical elements and three loops (D, anti-codon, and T loops). Lineage: Eukaryota; Metazoa; Chordata; Mammalia; Artiodactyla; Camelidae. RNAcentral also lists the same sequence under 2 other names. The record is from Rfam by way of RNAcentral.
GAGGGUACAGCUCAGUGGUAGAGUGCAUGCUUAGCACGAACGAAGUCCUGAGUUCAAUCCCCAGUGCCUUCA